CAUAAAGCAACGGGAAAACCGGUAUUUUUAAAAGUUUGUAGAGAGUCUCUGUUUGGUGAAAGGGGACAACUAAAAAAAAUACGACUCAUUUUCUCGCUUCAUCUCUGAAGUCUAUUAGGAGGUGACGGCUAAUAACCGUUAUAAAAUUAAGAGCGAUUGAAAUUUAUUUCAAUAAUGUGGGUGGUACCGCGAUAAUUCGUCCCAGAG
RNAcentral lists this non-coding RNA (207 nucleotides) under Anaerosphaera aminiphila. RNAcentral's name for it is "T-box sequence". It matches the Rfam family "T-box leader". From Rfam's summary of the family: Uncharged tRNA acts as the effector for transcription antitermination of genes in the T-box leader family. T-boxes are found upstream of many aminoacyl-tRNA synthetase genes and some amino acid biosynthetic genes usually in Gram-positive bacteria. The record is from RNAcentral. Lineage: Bacteria; Bacillati; Bacillota; Tissierellia; Tissierellales; Peptoniphilaceae.